GGGGCAUAUUUUUUCCCUCAGAUAUAGCGUAAUGAUGAGAGCCAUCUUAAACUAUGCUCUUCGGUCUUCAAGCCUGUCAUACUGACUCGUCUUGAGCGAAAAUAAGUCUGUAACCCGCAAUGUGUG
RNAcentral lists this small RNA (126 nucleotides) under Salmonella enterica subsp. enterica serovar Heidelberg str. SL486. RNAcentral describes it as "putative SraB RNA". It matches the Rfam family "SraB RNA", at positions 1 to 127 of the family's 169-position model. From Rfam's summary of the family: This RNA was discovered in E. coli during a large scale screen. This ncRNA was found to be expressed only in stationary phase. Lineage: Bacteria; Pseudomonadati; Pseudomonadota; Gammaproteobacteria; Enterobacterales; Enterobacteriaceae. The record is from RNAcentral.